This 450-nucleotide ribosomal RNA is filed under the name uncultured Glomeromycotina. RNAcentral describes it as "SSU rRNA". It matches the Rfam family "Eukaryotic small subunit ribosomal RNA", at positions 569 to 1024 of the family's 1831-position model. Lineage: Eukaryota; Fungi; Glomeromycota. The record is from RNAcentral.
AGCAGCCGCGGUAAUUCCAGCUCCAAUAGCGUAUAUUAAAGUUGUUGCAGUUAAAAAGCUCGUAGUUGAAUUUCGGGAUCAAUAUGUUGGUCGUGCCUUUGGUACGUACUAGCUUAUUGAUUUCUCCCUUCUGACGAACCAUGAUGUCAUUAAUUUGGUGUCAUGGGGAAUCAGGACUGUUACUUUGAAAAAUUAGAGUGUUUAAAGCAGGCUUACGCUUGAAUAUAUUAGCAUGGAAUAAUGAAAUAGGACGUUUUGAUUCUAUUUUGUUGGUUUCUAGGAUCGACGUAAUGAUUAAUAGGGAUAGUUGGGGGCAUUAGUAUUCAAUUGUCAGAGGUGAAAUUCUUGGAUUUAUUGAAGACUAACUACUGCGAAAGCAUUUGCCAAGGAUGUUUUCAUUAAUCAAGAACGAAAGUUAGGGGAUCGAAGACGAUCAGAUACCGUCGUAGU